Molecule: ribosomal RNA, 253 nt
Filed under: uncultured bacterium
Lineage: Bacteria
Description: partial 16S ribosomal RNA
Rfam family: Bacterial small subunit ribosomal RNA
Source: RNAcentral
UACAGAGGGUGCAAGCGUUAAUCGGAGUUACUGGGCGUAAAGGGCGCGUAGGUGGUUUGAUAAGGGUGUGGUGAAAGUCCGGAGCUCAACUCCGGAUCUGCCGUGCCGACUGUCAAACUCGAGGGCUGUAGAGGCAGACGGAAUUCCGGGUGUAGCGGUGGAAUGCGUAGAGAUCCGGAGGAAGACCGGUGGCGAAGGCGGUCUGCUGGGCAGUUUCUGACACUGAGGCGCGACAGCGUGGGGAGCAAACAGG